Transfer RNA from Pseudothermotoga thermarum DSM 5069, 88 nucleotides. It matches the Rfam family "tRNA". From Rfam's summary of the family: Transfer RNA (tRNA) molecules are approximately 80 nucleotides in length. Their secondary structure includes four short double-helical elements and three loops (D, anti-codon, and T loops). The record is from Rfam. NCBI's taxonomy places the organism in Bacteria, Thermotogati, Thermotogota, Thermotogae, Thermotogales, Thermotogaceae.
GCCGAGGUGGCGGAACUGGCAGACGCGACUGACUCAAAAUCAGUUGAGGGUUGACCCCCUCGUGCGGGUUCGACUCCCGCCCUCGGCA